RNAcentral lists this unclassified non-coding RNA (975 nucleotides) under Daphnia pulicaria. RNAcentral's name for it is "tetratricopeptide repeat protein 9A-like, transcript variant X1". The record is from RNAcentral. Lineage: Eukaryota; Metazoa; Arthropoda; Branchiopoda; Diplostraca; Daphniidae.
CUGCUUACUGUUUAGACUGCGUCUGACCCACCCGCGACAAUCGUGCUCCUUUUGUUUUCAAGUGUCACUUCACUCGCGUCUCACGUUUAACUUAUUUUUACUUGAUUGAUCUGAAAAUUCGGAAAUACGGAUUUCCCGCUUUCUAUCUACCUAUCUAUCUUAAUAAGAUCUUCCGAUUCGAUAGUUUGGGGUUUUGCAAAAGCAUGUGCCAAAAUAAUCCUCGCGACUGAAAUCAUUACUAUCAAGCUUCACAACUAAUUUAAUACUUGAAAGUUGGAAAUUACAUCAUUAUAUCAAUUCAUCUGUUUCCCCCAAUAUAAGUGAAAGAGCUGAGAACAAACUAUGUUUAGCAAACUCAUUAAAACUGGAAGGCAACACUUUUUUUAAGCAAGGCAAUCUAAAGGAAGCUAUUCGCCACUACCACAGAGCAUUAUUAUACAUCAAAGGUGUAGAAAGUGAUGGAUCUAAUAUGUUACAAAACUUAAGUGCUGCGUUCACAGAAACAAUGAAAACCAAACAUUUGGAAGAAAAAAUGGAUCCUAACAUCAUUGAAAGGAACACACAACUGAAAAUUGAUUGCUACAAUAAUUUGGCAGCGUGUUUGCUGAAAACUGAACAUCCUGAUUUUGAUAAAAUUGUGUUUUAUUGCGAUGAAGUCAUAAAAUUAACUUCAUGUAAUCCUAAGACUCAUUUUAGAAUGGCGCAAGCCCUUUUUAAACUUGGCGAUUAUAAUCGAGCAUUAGAGUCCUGCCAAAAGUCGCUAGAAAACCAACUUCAACAAGAUUCCCAAGUUAUCAGUUUAAAAACAAGCUGUCUUGCACACCUUGCCAAGCAAACUUCACAGGAGAAAGUUUUGUAUAGUAAAAUGUUAGGAUUGAAAAUGAACAAACAAUAAUUUUAAUAUUGUUAAAAUUACCAAAAAAUUGUAAUAUAAAAGAUUUGUGCGUGGUGUUCAAUACAUACUUUACUACAAGA